AUUGAACGCUGGCGGCAUGCCUUACACAUGCAAGUCGAACGGCAGCAUGGAGAGCUUGCUCUCUGAUGGCGAGUGGCGAACGGGUGAGUAAUGCAUCGGAACGUACCGUGUAAUGGGGGAUAACGUAGCGAAAGUUACGCUAAUACCGCAUACGACCUGAGGGUGAAAGCAGGGGAUCGCAAGACAUUGCGGUCUACGAGCGGCCGAUGUCAGAUUAGCUAGUUGGUGAGGUAAAGGCUCACCAAGGCGACGAUCUGUAGCGGGUCUGAGAGGAUGAUCCGCCACACUGGGACUGAGACACGGCCCAGACUCCUACGGGAGGCAGCAGUGGGGAAUUUUGGACAACGGGGGCAACCCUGAUCCAGCCAUGCCGCGUGAGUGAAGAAGGCCUUCGGGUUGUAAAGCUCUUUCGGCCGGGAAGAAAUCGCACAGGCUAAUACUCUGUGUGGAUGACGGUACCGGCAUAAGAAGCACCGGCUAACUACGUGCCAGCCGCCGCCGUAA
RNAcentral lists this ribosomal RNA (504 nucleotides) under uncultured bacterium. RNAcentral's name for it is "partial 16S ribosomal RNA". It matches the Rfam family "Bacterial small subunit ribosomal RNA", at positions 30 to 523 of the family's 1533-position model. The record is from RNAcentral.